CAAACAGGGUAUGGAACUUGGUUCCUCGAAUAACUUCUGGCACAGACAUCUGAGGGCAUGACCGUCCAAGAAGAAAAUGUAGCCAUUGGUGCCAUCUAUCGACCACAGGUUAAAGAUUGGCGAUCCGUUGGAUACCGACCGAGUUAUAGGCAAAACUUGGUGCAAAAAUGAGCCUAGGAGAUAGGCAAUAUAGAUUUUUUUGUUAUUUUAUUACAAUUUUUUCAAUCUUUUUCAAUUUAAAGCAUUAUUUGAGUGAAAAGAAUCUUAUUUGAACCAAUUGGCAUUAAAAUAAAUCAAUUUAAUUUUUUUUGCAAAAUUUCUCAAAAAAAUGGCAAGGGGUACCCCUUAUGAAAUUUUCGGGUUGAAAAUUUUUUUUUAAUUUUUUUCUGAUUUUUUAUUCUUUUUUUAAUUUAAAGCAUUAUUUGAGCGAAAAGAAACUUAUUGCAACAAAUUCCCAUUAAAUUGUAUCACAUUUAUAAAAAUGAGGAAAAUUUUCAUUUUCUCAAACAGGGUAUGGAACUUGGUUCCUCGAAUAACUUCUGGCACAGACAUCUGAGGGCAUGGCCGUCCAAGAAGAAAAUGUAGCCAUUGGUGCCAUCUAUCGAUCACAGGUUAAAGAUUGGCGAUCCGUUGGAUACCGACCGAGUUAUAGGCAAAACUUGGUGCAAAAAUGAGCCUAGGAGAUAGGCAAUAUAGAUUUUUUUAUUAUUUUAUUACAAUUUUUCAAUCUUUUUCAAUUUAAAGCAUUAUUUGAGUGAAAAGAAUCUUAUUUGAACCAAUUGGCAUUAAAAUAAAUCAAUUUAUUUUUUUUUGCAAAAUUUCUCAAAAAAAUGGCAAGGGGAACCCCUUAUGAAAUUUUCGGGUUGAAAAUUUUUUUAAAAAUUUUUUCUGAUUUUUUAUUCUUUUUUUAAUUUAAAGCAUUAUUUGAGCGAAAAGAAACUUAUUGCAACAAAUUCCCAUUAAAUUGUAUCACAUUUAUAAAACUGAGGAAAAUUUUACAUUUUCUCAAACAGGGUAUGGAACUUGGUUCCUCGAAUAACUUCUGGCACAGACAUCUGAGGGCAUGGCCGUCCAAGAAGAAAAUGUAGCCAUUGGUGCCAUCUAUCGACCACAGGUUAAAGAUUGGUGAUCCGUUGGAUACCGACAGAGUUAUAGGCAAAACUUGAUGCAGAAAUGUGUAAAAUUUUACAUUUUCUCAAACAGGGUAUGGAACUUGGUUCCUCGUAUAAAUUCUGGCACAGACAUCUGAGGGCAUGGCCGUCCAAGAAGAAAAUGUAGCCAUUGGUGCCAUCUAUCGACCACAGGUUAAAGAUUGGCGAUCCGUUGGAUACCGACCGAGUUAUAGGCAAAACUUGGUGCAAAAAUGAGCCUAGGAGAUAGGCAAUAUAGAUUUUUUUAUUAUUUUAUUACAAUUUUUCAAUCUUUUUCAAUUUAAAGCAUUAUUUGAGUGAAAAGAAUCUUAUUUGAACCAAUUGGCAUUAAAAUAAAUCAAUUUAAUUUUUUUUGCAAAAUUUCUCAAAAAAUGGCAAGG
Long non-coding RNA from Anopheles funestus (African malaria mosquito), 1531 nucleotides. RefSeq lists it as uncharacterized. NCBI's taxonomy places the organism in Eukaryota, Metazoa, Arthropoda, Insecta, Diptera, Culicidae. The transcript is spliced from 5 exons. The record is from RefSeq and is a predicted model, not a curated record.